CAGUAGCCGCGGGAAUACGGAGGGUGCGAGCGUUAAUCGGAAUAACUGGGCGUAAAGGGCACGCAGGCGGUGACUUAAGUAAGGUGUGAAAGCCCCGGGCUUAACCUAGGAAUUGCAUUUCAUACUGGGUCGCUAGAGUACUUUAGGGAGGGGUAGAAUUCCACGUGUAGCGGUGAAAUGCGUAGUGAUGUGGAGGAAUACCGAAGGCGAAGGCAGCCCCUUGGGAAUGUACUGACGCUCAUGUGCGAAAGCGUGGGGAGCAAACAGGAUUAGAUACCCCCGUAGUCCCUGUCUCUUAUAC
Molecule: ribosomal RNA, 301 nt
Filed under: uncultured bacterium
Lineage: Bacteria
Description: partial 16S ribosomal RNA
Rfam family: Bacterial small subunit ribosomal RNA
Source: RNAcentral